Molecule: ribosomal RNA, 162 nt
Filed under: Leptographium clavigerum
Lineage: Eukaryota; Fungi; Ascomycota; Sordariomycetes; Ophiostomatales; Ophiostomataceae
Description: Grosmannia clavigera partial 5.8S ribosomal RNA
Rfam family: 5.8S ribosomal RNA (bases 1-99)
About the family: 5.8S ribosomal RNA (5.8S rRNA) is a component of the large subunit of the eukaryotic ribosome. It is transcribed by RNA polymerase I as part of the 45S precursor that also contains 18S and 28S rRNA. Functionally, it is thought that 5.8S rRNA may be involved in ribosome translocation.
Source: RNAcentral
CGAUAAGUAAUGCGAAUUGCAGAAUUCAGCGAGCCAUCGAAUCUUUGAACGCACAUUGCGCCCGCCAGCAUUCUGGCGGGCAUGCCUGUCCGAGCGUCAUUUCCUCCCUCACGCAGCGCGCCUGCGUGGUGUUGGGGCGUUCUGCGGCCAGGCCUGCGCCCA